Molecule: long non-coding RNA, 5146 nt
Filed under: Sorghum bicolor (sorghum)
Lineage: Eukaryota; Viridiplantae; Streptophyta; Magnoliopsida; Poales; Poaceae
Description: long non-coding RNA (SBIC_LNC014490)
Source: RNAcentral
CCUUACCAAGGUUAGAACGAGACUACGGUUGCAAUCUUCUCUAUACAUCACUCACAUCGAGAAACAUUCUUUGUAGCCUAAAGGGAUAGUAGCAAUAGAUUUGGUUAGUCAGAUGUACCCUUUCUCCCAGUGGUAAAAAUAUAAAUACGAUAACUCUGGAUAACCUCCCGGGUGAAAUGCUCACCGAUAUCCGUGCGCUUGCGGAUCAUUUCCUUAUUGCGUUACCAAAUAUCAACACCAGACACGACUAGGACUCGAAUUCUAAAUUAAACAGAAUCCGUGUACAAAGUAAACUCUAAUAACUAUGGAAAGCAUUAAAUCAUCUUGCACAACCGAACGGUACACCACCAUGAGUCGAUCGACAACCCCAGCGCCCUUCUCCAUGACCAUCGGCAAACCACCUCUCAUAGCCAUCGGCAACCAUCAGCACCAGUCAUCGGCACGAAUCCAUCACCACUCCUAGACUUGGCCAUAUCCUGUCAUUUUCUCAUCGGCACCAACCCUCAUCGGCGACUCUUCUGUAGAUUAGUCACCACUUUUCUGCGUGCCGAUCUACACCUUAUUAACUCCAGAUACACCCCCAAAGAUACGUGUCCAAAAACGGUGUUGUUGGGCAUUCUUAACGUCACUACCAAAAGUAGACUUAGUUUUCUAAUUCUGAUAACGGCGCCAAAAAUGCCAAACCUAUCUCUCGUGCCACUUAAGCCAAGUUGUCAUCCCCAGCAUGACAUGAGAGACGCGGUAUUGAAAUAUGCAAUUGCUCUUCUGAAUAAAUAAUAAAUGAGAUCUGCAAGCACACAGAUUAAUACUGAUGUAGCAUUUUAACCGGGAAGUAUUCUAGGUAUCGUUACUUAUAUUUUUACCACUGGGAAGGGAUUGCUAAACAUCAAUGUUGAUUAUGGAAUGGAAUAUAGAAUUGAGUAUCUAUCAUUGCAUGUAUAAUUGAGAGCAUUUACCUAUCUCUUUCAUACAGGGAUAAGUGUCACAUAAAAGAUAGAUAAAGUAUGAAUGGUGACAAAGAUAAUUAAUCUGAUCAGCAUAACUUAGCCACUUAUAAAUAUGAUAAGCACCUCAAUAGAUAUUCUAGCAAGUCAUUAGCAUAGAAUUAGGACGAACUACAAGAAUAUUUCCUAAGUUAUUCUCAACUAUACAGUCUAGCAUAUCAUAGUUAGUGCAAUUAUACUUGGCAAUCAUUGCGAGACAGGAUUACGCCCAUGCAUAGUGAUAUUAUCAAGGUAAAUGAGAAACAUAGCAAUCACUCCCCUAUAAUAAUGUUGCUCUGCCAGCCCUAUAUACGAGAGGGGGACUAUAUAAGAAUCAAUGGAGCUGUCACUACCACGAACUACCCUGCGAUCUGGCAUAUAGGGUACAAUCGCACAUAAAUACAGUAUAGGCACCACGCCUACACAAUACUUAUCAUUUACCCACUGUACACAUGGAUAAAUGCUAUACGAUCCUAAACAUGUAUAUAAUUCCAAUCUAACUAAGCCAAGCAUAUAACUAUGAUAAACUAAGAACAAUAUAAUUGCAAAUGUAAACAAGUAGAGCAAAGUCAUAAUCAAUAUAUUGAAGUAGAACAAAGUCGUAUUCAUAAUAUUGAAGAACAAAGAUGAACAAUUGAAGAACAAUAGAGGAAUUACCAAGAAUCCUCUUGACAGAUCCGGAAACCAAUUGAAGAUUGACUCCUUCUAGUUCUAAUCCUAUGUCGCUAUGCUAAACUAGAGAUCUAAUUGAUGUGGUGGCUCUAGGGGCUUGAUCAGAGGCUUCUUCUCCCAAGAUGGAUAAUGAAUUAGGGUUCAGAGGUCCUCUCCUCCAGGGGCCAGGGGUCUGCUUAUAUAGUCCUUCCAAGUUAAUGUGGACCGUUGGAUCAAACUGACAUUAAUCGCACGGUUUUCCUUGAUCCUUUAGGUCGGUGGAGCAUGAUCCGCGAAGUUGAAGCUGAUUGGCCCCGAGGCCAGGGCGGCCGCCCAAGGGGGGAGGGCGGGCGCCCUACCACAGAGCCCGUCCGGUCUCCCGUUCAUUCUCGUGGCUUCUGGACUCUUCUAGAUGUUAGAUAAUUGCACGGCACAUUAAUAUCUCUAUGUAAACCCAACGUGUGGGCGUUUCCUCCAUAUUUCCUGAUAACCCCCUACAGAAAUAGAUAAACACCAAAACUUAUGGAAUUCUGUCAAAUAAAACCCUAAUUCUAGGUGUUGGUUGCAUUUGGAUCCUUUUCUUUACUUAUUUGAUGAUUAAAUUUGAUACUUAAGGACCGUCAACAAACUCCCCCAAGCUAACCUCUUGCUCGUCCCUAAGCAAGGAUAGACUCAGUGAUGGAUGAAAAGUUGCUGAAAUGCUUUUAAAAGUUGACGGUACACAUGCUUUCAAAUAAGGUCUCAUCUGUGAGUUAGAGUAAACUGUCAAGACUUAAAACUUACUUUACCUUUUACCAUGGGACUUGUAACCGUCACUUCUGUCUUGAGCAGUUAAAAGAUAGAACGGUCUAGUCAAGUGCCAUGUCUCUUAUUCUUGAUCAGCUAUAGCUCUGGAGUUUUUGCAGAUUUUCAAACAAAAAUCAGAGAUUCCUUGUAUGACUCUCUCAGAUCUCUCUUUUGUGGUAUUUCUGCAUCCUUACCAAGGCAGUGAUGGUAUAUGCCUUCUCUCAAAAUAUGUGAUAUUUGUGGUAUAAAGCAUAGUGACAUUGCCUUCUCUCUCACCCUACUCUAAUAAGGCUUUAAUAUCUAGAGCUCAUAGGUGGGAGAUAAAGUAUACAUACUUACAAGACAUUUAUUGCAUAGUCAAACCAUGGAUCCAAAGAAACAAGUCAAUAAGUCAAAUCAAGAUGUGCAUGUGUGGCGAAUGAAUGGUGUAUGGUGAUGAUGGUGAUAACAAUGGUGAAAGUUUAAUUCUACUUGUGCUCUUUUAAGGGGAUACAUAGCAUUCUUGCCCCUUUUUUGAAACUUUGAGGAGAAUGAGAUGCUCUAUAUUUUUUUUCUUUCCUCUCAGGUGGGUAUCGUGUACCCCUUAUUCUACUGUCGGACACUUGUCCAUUUUUACCUCUCGUCUCACUUUUUCUUUCUUUUGAGGUUCCGGGUACUUGCCCCUUUUUAUGUCCUCGUAUCUUUUUCUUUUUUCUCUUUUUUUAGAGCACUCAUCUCCUGAAAAUAAUAUAGCAAGUGGUAGCAAUCAAGAUAACUUGAGCAUUUAUUUCACAGGGGAAAAACAUAAAUGUUUUUGGCUAUUCUCUCUCAGAUUAGGAGUAGAAUAUUUUUGGGUGGUUCUGGAGAUGGAAAUGAGUGGAUAUAUGUGGAUGCGUACUUCCGGAGUAGAAGUAGCAUGUAUGAGUGAACGUGCAAGUGAAUCUUAAUUUAACCACAUGACAAGCUCCUAAGGGUCUACACAGCUUGACCACACUCAAUGUUCAUAAGCAGUAAAAAGUAAAUGUGUGGCUCAAAGUCUAACAAGCAUGUAUAUAUGGCUGUGGUAGGAAUUUAAACUCUCAUCAUACAGGAACUCAUCAUGUGAUAUUUUAAAGAUUUUCAAAGCUAAAAUUCUCCAGAAUUCUAGCAUCUCUAGGAACAGAUAAACAGCAGCUCAACCUUCCCAUAUCAUAUCUGUUAACAACUUAGACCUUUAGAUCAAGUUCUCUUCCCACAAGUUCAGGUUUAGAGCAAGCUUUAAAUUAUAACAGUUAUGUCUAAACUAGAGAGAACUCAAAUUUGAAAAUUAGGCAGAGCAACUAUUCAUCAUAUGCAUGCUAGAGUUUUAUUAUUAAGAUUCAGUUCAGCAUAGCCACUUUAUUUAUUUAUUAAGCACACUAAGAAAAAGACAUAUAUUUAUAUAUAAGCACAAAAUCUUUAUUUGGUUUUUCAUGGUUAUGUAUAUUUAUAUUUUUAUAUAGUAUAAGUAUAUAGAUAGAAAUACUUAGCGGGAUAAAUGGGGGUGCUCUCUCCCAAGCUGGAUUUUGACGUACUUUCUUCUAAUGUAGCCAGCAGGUGGUAGAGGUGUAUUUGAAAGUCGACAGUACCCUAACAGCGAUUAGAAUGUCCUCCGUCUGCUAGUCUUCUUCAUCCUUAAAUUCUGUGGAGCUCAAAUAGACAACAUAGCUUUGUGGAACUGAUUAAGUGUUAGCAUAAAUAUCUAUCCUUUAUCAUGUUGAGCCUCCUCAAUAAAUAUUACUCUCUAUUUUUUUUAUAUUUUCAUUUUAUAGAGCAGAGAAAAUUAUUUAUUUUAAUUUUAUGCCACCACAGUGAAUGUACUUAUGGGUUUUAUACCACUCGUAUACUCACAUAGGGCUUACUAUUUUUUAACAUUUUUAUUUUCUUUUUAGGAUAGUAUGAACAUGAUUAACUAAACAAACCAUUUUAAAUAAUUUGAAAGGAAAAGGUAACUACCAAGUUUACCUCUUAGCAAGGCGUUCGGUGUUUUUAAGUCCUCCAAAUGGGACUCUCCAUUUUCUCAGUUGUCCUGGGAUUCGUUGGGUGGCGUAGUCGGUGCUUCCGGCGGCGCCUCCUCUUCAUGUAUAGUUAUCUUCUCUCUCCACACCUGACUUGGUGCUAUGGUCUCCUUAGGAUAGUUCUGUUCAAGCUGUAUGUCUCCAGACCUUACCACUUCUCCUUCAUAGUCUGCCCAUCCGUCCUUGAUGAUUUGCCUCUUCUGGUUACGGUUGCGUCGUCUUCUUCUUGUCCUGACCUGCUUAGAAUCUUCAACUAUAUAAUUAGGGUCAGUAAAAUAGCGGCGUACCUUCCCUGAGGGGAAGUGCAUGUGAACUUCUCCAGUUCCAAUGUAGAUGAUUGCUUUAACGGUGCUGAGGAAUGGUCUUCCAAGGAUGAUGGGUGGAUCGUACUCAUCUUCUCUCAUGUCAAUAACCUAAAAGUCUAUAUGGACAAAAUGAUCGUCUAUUUUGACAGGGACAUUAGUUACUAUAUCUUCAACCUUUCGGAAUGUCCCAUCUGGAGCUGAAUGUAUGUCGGUUUUAAGGGCAUGGUUCCGAACAGGAGCCGAUAGGUGACUGCGUCCAUUAUGUUGAUGCCCGAUCUGGUGUCGCAAAGUGUCUUGUAGAAGUUGUAUCCAUUAACGGAGCAGUGGAUGCUUGGCAUACCUGGGUCGUCCUUCUUGGUCAGAAACGGUGACUUAAGUUGAUGAUCUUGACCUCCAUGAACUACAG